This 806-nucleotide ribosomal RNA is filed under the name uncultured Planctomycetota bacterium. Its description in RNAcentral is "bacterial SSU rRNA". It matches the Rfam family "Bacterial small subunit ribosomal RNA", at positions 455 to 1250 of the family's 1533-position model. The record is from RNAcentral. Lineage: Bacteria; Pseudomonadati; Planctomycetota.
AAUACCACAUUUAUUUGACGAAGGCUCCAAAGGAAGCCACGGCUAACUCUGUGCCAGCAGCCGCGGUAAUACAGAGGUGGCAAGCGUUGUUCGGAAUUAUUGGGCGUAAAGAGCACGUAGGUGGGUUUGUAAGUCAGAUGUGAAAGCCUUCUGUUCAACGGAAGAAUUGCAUCUGAAACUGCGAGUCUUGAGUGUAGGAGGGGAGAAUGGAACUUCUGGUGGAGCGGUGAAAUGCGUAGAUAUCAGAAGGAACGCCGGCGGCGAAAGCGAUUCUCUGGCCUAUUACUGACGCUCAGUGUGCGAAAGCUAGGGGAGCAAACGGGAUUAGAUACCCCGGUAGUCCUAGCCGUAAACGAUGGGCACUAAGUAGAGGGAAUUACCGAUGUUCUCUCUGCCGUAGCUAACGCAUUAAGUGCCCCGCCUGGGGAGUACGGCCGCAAGGCUAAAACUCAAAAGAAUUGACGGGGGCUCGCACAAGCGGUGGAGCAUGUGGCUUAAUUCGAUGCAACGCGAAGAACCUUACCGGGGCUUGACAUGGUAGAAGUAGGAACCCGAAAGGGUAAUGAACGGUAUCCAGUCCGUAACUAUCACAGGUGUUGCAUGGCUGUCGUCAGCUCGUGUCGUGAGACGUUGGGUUAAGUCCCCUAACGAGCGAAACCCUUGUUUUUAGUUACCAGCGGGUUGUGCCGGGUACUCUAGAAAGACUGCCGUCGUCAAGACGGAGGAAGGUGGGGAUGACGUCAAGUCAUCAUGGCCCUUAUGCCCCGGGCUGCACACNUGCUACAAUGGUCGGUACAAACGGAAGC